Molecule: ribosomal RNA, 301 nt
Filed under: uncultured bacterium
Lineage: Bacteria
Description: partial 16S ribosomal RNA
Rfam family: Bacterial small subunit ribosomal RNA
Source: RNAcentral
CAGUAGCCACGGGAAUACAGAGGGUGCGAGCGUUAAUCGGAUUUACUGGGCGUAAAGCGUGCGUAGGCGGCUUCUUAAGUCGGAUGUGAAAUCCCUGAGCUUAACUUAGGAAUUGCAUUCGAUACUGGGAAGCUAGAGUAUGGGAGAGGAUGGUAGAAUUCCAGGUGUAGCGGUAAAAUGCGUAGAGAUCUGGAGGAAUACCGAUGGCGAAGGCAGCCAUCUGGCCUAAUACUGACGCUGAGGUACGAAAGCAUGGGGAGCAAACAGGAUUAGAUACCCGGGUAGUCCCUGUCUCUUAUAC